AUUGAACGCUGGCGGCAUGCCUAACACAUGCAAGUCGAACGGCAGCAUAGUAUGUACUUGUACAUAUGGGUGGCGAGUGGCGAACGGGUGAGUAAUGCGCAGGAAUAUACCUUAAAGAGGGGGAUAACUUGGGGAAACACAAGCUAAUACCGCAAGUACUCUAAGGAGUGAAGCUGGGGACCUUCGGGCCUGGCGCUUUAAGAAUAGCCUGCGUCCGAUUAGCUAGUUGGUGGGGUAAAGGCCUACCAAGGCGACGAUCGGUAGCUGGUCUGAGAGGAUGGACAGCCACACUGGGACUGAGACACGGCCCAGACUCCCACGGGAGGCAGCAGUGGGGAAUAUUGGACAAUGGGGGCAACCCUGAUCCAGCAAUGCCGCGUGUGUGAAGAAGGCCUGAGGGUUGUAAAGCACUUUUAGUGGGGAGGAGGGUAUCUAGGUUAAGAGCUAGGAUAUUGGACGUUACUCACAGAAAAAGCACCGGCUAACUCCGUGCCAGCCGCCGCCGUAA
This 508-nucleotide ribosomal RNA is filed under the name uncultured bacterium. RNAcentral's name for it is "partial 16S ribosomal RNA". It matches the Rfam family "Bacterial small subunit ribosomal RNA", at positions 30 to 523 of the family's 1533-position model. The record is from RNAcentral.